AUUGAACGCUGGCGGCAGGCCUAACACAUGCAAGUCGAACGGUAACAGAAAGCAGCUUGCUGCUUUGCUGACGAGUGGCGGACGGGUGAGUAAUGUCUGGGAAACUGCCUGAUGGAGGGGGAUAACUACUGGAAACGGUAGCUAAUACCGCAUAACGUCGCAAGCCCAAAGAGGGGGACCUUCGGGCCUCUUGCCAUCGGAUGUGCCCAGAUGGGAUUAGUUUGUUGGUGGGGUAACGGUUCACCAAGGUGAAGAUCUCUAGCUGGUCUGAGAGGAUGACCGGCCACACUGGAGCUGAGACACGGUCCAGACUCCUACGGGAGGCAGCAGUGGGGAAUAUUGCACAAUGGGCGGAAACCUGAUGCAGCCAUGCGGCGUGUAUGAAGAAGACGUUCGGGUUGUAAAGUACUUUCAGCGGGGAGGAAGGGAGUAAAGUUAAGACCUAUGCUCAUUGACGUUACCGGCAGAAGAAGCACCGGCUAACUACGUG
RNAcentral lists this ribosomal RNA (490 nucleotides) under uncultured bacterium. RNAcentral's name for it is "partial 16S ribosomal RNA". It matches the Rfam family "Bacterial small subunit ribosomal RNA", at positions 30 to 507 of the family's 1533-position model. The record is from RNAcentral.